UUUGGAAUCUUGAAAGAAUCCUUCAAGAUCGUAUUUUCAUGCAGAAAAACCUUUAGCCAGAUAACCCUAAUUCUUAUUCUUGCUCUCUCCUUAAUCGCUCCAAUCCAGCUCUUUGAUCUCCUUAUUUUAUCAAAACACAGCUCAGAUUGCCCAAAUGGUUCCUCUCAAUCCUCUGUUUCCCUUGCAUGCACCCAAGAGAAGUGCCAUACACAAACUGAUUUCUCUGAUCUCCUUAAAUGCAUAGAGCCCUCCCUGUCCCAUAAGAUCAUCUCCUCUCUCUUAGAUUUCAUCUCCUCCACUCUCCUUCUAAUCGUUACAGUUUUCACUACUUCUGCAGUUGCUUAUGCUGUUGCAGGCAUACAAAUUUCGGAGUCAAUCACCUUCAAGAAGGUGAAGACUGCAGUGCCAAAUGUUUGGAAGAGACUUAAGCUCACUAAUAAGUGCAGUUCUGCCAUUAUUUCCUUGUAUAAUAUGAUCUUUGCAGCAGGAGUAAUCCUCUUGUUGGUGGUCAAUAAUCAUGUAGAACACUAUAAUUAUAAGGCAUCAUCUGCGAUUCUAGCGAUUCUUGCGCUUCUCUCGAUUUUAUUUUGUAUUGGGUUAUUUUAUAUUGCCAUUUUUUCGCAUUUGGCUACUGUGGUUUCUGUUUUAGAGGAAAUUUAUGGGAUGAAAGCUAUGGCCAAGAGCAAGAAGUUGAUAAAGGGCAAGAUUGGAGUUACUGUUGCUCUUCUUAUUAUGUGGGGAAUUUGUUUUUUUAUAAUUGUAAUCCUUCUUGGGGUAUAUGUGCUAAAGGAUGGGGUGUUGGCACUUGCACUUAGAAUUGGAAUUGGAAUCCUUUGCUUCUUGCUGAUGUCGGUGCUGAUAAUAUUUGGGCUUGUAAAUCAAACAGUUCUCUACUUUGUGUGCAAAUCCCAUCAUCAGGAGAACAUUGACAUGUCCUCUUUAGCGGCCCACCUUGAGACUUAUCUUGAAGAGGGCACUUCAGAAGCAGCUGAUUACGCAAUGGAGCAAAUUCAAAGCGUAAUAACUAAUUAGAACUUUUUUCUAUCAAUUUCUGCAUAGAGAUACGCACUAUAGGUCAUACAAACUAUUGACAACCUAUAGUGCGUAUCUCUAUGCAGAAAUUGAUAGAAAAAA
RNAcentral lists this unclassified non-coding RNA (1134 nucleotides) under Hevea brasiliensis (rubber tree). The record is from RNAcentral. Lineage: Eukaryota; Viridiplantae; Streptophyta; Magnoliopsida; Malpighiales; Euphorbiaceae.